GAUGAACGCUGGCGGCGUGCCUAAUACAUGCAAGUCGAGCGAACGGACGAGAAGCUUGCUUCUCUGAUGUUAGCGGCGGACGGGUGAGUAACACGUGGAUAACCUACCUAUAAGACUGGGAUAACUUCGGGAAACCGGAGCUAAUACCGGAUAAUAUUUUGAACCGCAUGGUUCAAAAGUGAAAGACGGUCUUGCUGUCACUUAUAGAUGGAUCCGCGCUGCAUUAGCUAGUUGGUAAGGUAACGGCUUACCAAGGCAACGAUGCAUAGCCGACCUGAGAGGGUGAUCGGCCACACUGGAACUGAGACACGGUCCAGACUCCUACGGGAGGCAGCAGUAGGGAAUCUUCCGCAAUGGGCGAAAGCCUGACGGAGCAACGCCGCGUGAGUGAUGAAGGUCUUCGGAUCGUAAAACUCUGUUAUUAGUGAAGAACAUAUGUGUAAGUAACUGUGCACAUCUUGACGGUACCUAAUCAGAAAGCCACGGCUAACUACGUGCCAGCAGCCGCGGUAAUACGUAGGUGGCAAGCGUUAUCCGGAAUUAUUGGGCGUAAAGCGCGCGUAGGCGGUUUUUUGAGUCUGAUGUGAAAGCCCACGGCUCAACCGUGGAGGGUCAUUGGAAACUGGAAAACUUGAGUGCAGAAGAGGAAAGUGGAAUUCCAUGUGUAGCGGUGAAAUGCGCAGAGAUAUGGAGGAACACCAGUGGCGAAGGCGACUUUCUGGUCUGUAACUGACGCUGAUGUGCGAAAGCGUGGGGAUCAAACAGGAUUAGAUACCCUGGUAGUCCACGCCGUAAACGAUGAGUGCUAAGUGUUAGGGGGUUUCCGCCCCUUAGUGCUGCAGCUAACGCAUUAAGCACUCCGCCUGGGGAGUACGACCGCAAGGUUGAAACUCAAAGGAAUUGACGGGGACCCGCACAAGCGGUGGAGCAUGUGGUUUAAUUCGAAGCAACGCGAAGAACCUUACCAAAUCUUGACAUCCUUUGACAACUCUAGAGAUAGAGCCUUCCCCUUCGGGGGACAAAGUGACAGGUGGUGCAUGGUUGUCGUCAGCUCGUGUCGUGAGAUGUUGGGUUAAGUCCCGCAACGAGCGCAACCCUUAAGCUUAGUUGCCAUCAUUAAGUUGGGCACUCUAAGUUGACUGCCGGUGACAAACCGGAGGAAGGUGGGGAUGACGUCAAAUCAUCAUGCCCCUUAUGAUUUGGGCUACACACGUGCUACAAUGGACAAUACAAAGGGCAGCGAAACCGCGAGGUCAAGCAAAUCCCAUAAAGUUGUUCUCAGUUCGGAUUGUAGUCUGCAACUCGACUACAUGAAGCUGGAAUCGCUAGUAAUCGUAGAUCAGCAUGCUACGGUGAAUACGUUCCCGGGUCU
Molecule: ribosomal RNA, 1372 nt
Filed under: uncultured bacterium
Lineage: Bacteria
Description: bacterial SSU rRNA
Rfam family: Bacterial small subunit ribosomal RNA
Source: RNAcentral